RNAcentral lists this non-coding RNA (154 nucleotides) under Streptomyces caelestis. The record is from RNAcentral. Lineage: Bacteria; Bacillati; Actinomycetota; Actinomycetes; Kitasatosporales; Streptomycetaceae.
AAGAGGGAACCCGGUGCGAAUCCGGGGCUGUCCCGCAGCGGUGAGUGGGAACGAGAGCCGUCGAUGUCACUGGGCCCGCGUCAGGGCCGGGGAAGAGACGGCCGGUAGGUAUCCGUCGUGUUGUCGGCGGACGUGCCCGCGAGUCCGAAGACCU